This is a non-coding RNA of Coturnix japonica (Japanese quail), 3899 nucleotides long. The record is from RefSeq and is a predicted model, not a curated record. Lineage: Eukaryota; Metazoa; Chordata; Aves; Galliformes; Phasianidae.
AGAUGGGCUGAAUUAUUCCACUGCAGGACUUGUGGCAUAGUUAGCCCUAUACUUGCCACACUAAUAUCAGACCUUACUCCCAGCACAGAGCUAGCCUGGGCUCUUAGAGAGCAAGCUCCAGACUCCAUCUCAGUCUCUCCUGUACCAGCCGCUGCCCAAGGAGGAACGUUGCACUGCAUUCAGGAGGCUCAUGGACUUGGCCUGGAGAGAAUGCAACUGAAGCUGAGAUAUGUCCAGAUGCAGAGGAGAGGAAAAGUGACAGGCAGCCUGGUUGUCCAUCAGCUGUUGGGACACCCACACAGUGCCGCAAAUUACAGGACUCUCUGCAAGGACUGCUCUAAAAAUAUCCAGCCAUCAUAAAUUAUCCCAAAAUGAAUUGUUUUAAAAAUAGAUUUUGAAAUGACUGUUCCUUUCUGUCUCCUGCUAAAAGAUCUGCUGGUAAAGAAGCCACUUAGCUUUCCACAUGUACCAGCACUGGUUGCAGCCAGAGACUCAUGCUUCCUAUAUUCAAGCCAAAACCCGUUUGACGGAUGCCAAAACAGACCUGGAUCUAGGGCAUCCACACCCAGGCUUGAAGGAUCCUAAAAUGACUUUUGCCUAUUGCUUGCCAGAAGCUGGCAGCGCACAGAACCACAGCCAAUUAUUAUCCUCGUAAAUAACAGCUAGCCCGGAAAAGGAGCAAUGUGAUUGUGAGAGCACAAGCUGAAGGAAAAAAUGUGGGCUGUAUUUAACAAUGGCAGAUCAAAUUCUUCCCUGGAUUAGCCAUGCGCAAGCUCAAGGGUUAGCCAGUUUGUCCUUCUAUGCGGAAGACAGCCAGAGCUGCUGCUAACAGACGUGUCUGACUGUGCAGUAUGCGUGUCUCAUGCUCACCGUUAGCAUUAUCUUCAGUCUUGACAGGCAUAAGGGGGCUCUGGGGAGCAGAGUCUCCACUGAGGGAGUAGCUGUGCUCUGCCUGGAUGCCUGGAGUGGGUGGGUCCAGGUCCAUGUCCAGCAGCGGGUUCUUUUCAGCCAGAACUGGGUCAUCGAAGAAACUGCUGAAGAGGUCGUUGGAGAAAUCCUCCAUGUUGUCAGAGAAGUGAUCCAGGUUCUCAGAGAAAUGCUGAGGAAAAUCCAAGGGAGACAGAAUAUUAGUGUCAACUCCAAGAGGAAUCUGAGCUUUCUCCUGUGCUGGCAGCCAAACCUCAGCAAAAGCACUUUCUGGAUGGGAAAGAACAGUUGCUACCCCUUCUUUGCAUCAGUGUGAUAAAGACACCAGGACUUUAGACAGAAAAAGAUGAGGUGCUUUAUAGAUUCUCUGCUUAUUUAUCUAUGCUGUGAACGCAAGCAAAACUCUUUUAUACCCUCACAUCUCCUCCUUCCUCUGUGGGUACCUAACUUCAGCUUCCCAGCAUCAUCUCACUAUGACAUCUAGCCAAGCAGAGAACAAGGCAAGAAAUCCCUGUGAUGACAAAAAGUGUGGCUGAAAAUCAUGGUCUUCAGCACCUGUGGUGACAGACACUUUCUCAUGAUCUCUGCCAGCAGUGAUAGGCACUCUGAUGCCCCAGAGAACAUCAAACCAGCUGCUGAUUUCUAUCAGAGAGGAAAAAGAAAUCAAUUGGAUCCACAGGACAGGAAGACCCCCUGUUAUAUUUAAUUUCCUCUGGGAUUUCACAGCCCCUCUGCGGACCAUAUGAAGCUGUCCUCCAGCCAGAUAAUGACUGUGAAAUUCUGCUCCCCGAUGAAGUUUAAACACUACAGAUGGGCUGUUAACAACAAACAAUCAUGCCACUAAUCAUUCUAGUAACAGCCAGUAAAUCUGGCGGGUGCAGUUGGGGAGCCGGGCUCCUGAUGCCACAGGGAACCUGCUUCUUUUGAGGCAUAUCCCCCUAUUCAGAACUCAGAUUGCUAACUUUUCCAUUUGCUACAACAAAGCGCCGGUUGAGCGGGAGAAAAAUGAUGAUUGCCAAACACCAGCUGAAAAAUCAUCCCAUUCGUUGGCAGAUUGACGCUUUUGGCUCAUGGGGAGGAAAGAAAAGACAGAUACAUUCAAGUGACUGUAUUACACAGACGGAACUGUGUAACUUAAAUGAACUGGAGAGAGCUCAGCCGAGUCAGACUGCCCCCACCCGCCCGACUGUAAAAGCAUCUGGGUGGGCAGAAGAGUGUUGAAAGCAGCAUAUUGAAAUACCAGGAGCAAAAGGGUAUGAACAGGAGAAAGUGCAAGAGAGCUCACAGGUCCUAGAGUAGAGGCAUGAAUGCCAGUGAACAUUUCUGGGAGAGCCAGUUCCUAGAAGAGCAGGGGGUGCGUGCAGUUCUUUCCCCACCUGUAACAUUGAGGAAGGAGUUGGCCAGAGGACCCCGGAUGCUGGACCGUGCAGGUUCCUGUUCCUACAGGAAGGUAUAUUUGCUUUACCUGAGCACAGUAUCACUCUGUCAACAUUACUUGGGCUGCCCAAGCGUGGGGUGAGGCUGGGGAAUGAAGUAGGCUCCAGCUGAGCAGACUUGCACUUCCCACCAAGUGGGGGAGGGAAAUGGUAAGCUGUUGCAGUUUCUGUCAUUGCAGUGCCCUUCGCCUUCCAACGUCAUCCCUCAGCCACUAGAUUUAAAAAUCAAAUGCCCGCGGAGCAUGUGGGAAAUGGGCAAAAGUCCCUGCUGUCUGCAUUCUACCUGACAUGAGGUUUCCCUCCCAGUGAGAAGGCCCUCCCAGGGAAGUCUGGGAUGAAGAUUUCUCCACUUGCUCCCAUACUGGCAGCAUGUAGGCAAGGCAGCCACUCAGCCAUUUUCAAGCUGCCUAGUCUGCACUUGGUUCAAGUGACAGCCAACACCUCCAUCUGCACUGUUCUUCUAAGGGAGCUGAGUCAGCAGAUGGAAUUGGGUUAUUUAAAAAGCACUGGAAAACCAAGUUUUGUCCUGCCCUACAACACAGAGGGGUAAGAGAGUACAGAGUCCUGAGCAUUAACCCCAGAGAGUGCCUGCUCAUGUAACAGCUGUUCUUUGUCUUGCUUCUCCAAACAGCACAAGCAAACAGGACAUGAACAUGAUAGCCUUAUGGUAAGGAUGUGAAUGUAACCAAUCAUAGACAAGUAAAAGGAUUCAGAGUUUUGGCUGCCAAUGUAACACCAAAGCACACAGAGCCAGGAUCUGACAGGAGGCAUCCAACCUGUGUAAGUACAGCCAUAGCCAUAAAAACUAGAAUGAAUGUGUAACUCUCAGAGAGGAGCAGGAAUGGAUGGUCAGCUGCAGGAAGAAUCAUCUGUGACUGCCACGAGCUUCAAAUUUCUUUCACAAGCUUGUGUUAACAAAGGUGGGGCUGGAGACCAGCCAGGGAGAUGAUGCAGUUAUGCAUUAGUUCCACUCACUGUCCUUUAACACUCAUGCUUAAAACAAGGGUUAGGACAAACCUACCUGGAGGGAAGAGAAGCUCUGCCUCUAGGUUUACUUUGAAAUGCCAGCAGUGUCUAAGGGGUGAGAUGACAGUAAUGAGUGCACGGGGCUGAGCAUCGGAGCUUUAACGCAGGCACUGACACUGGCAGAAGUCAUUGUGUAUUUCCACAACAGAAUAAACAAGAAGCUGAGCCACCAAGUCCUGAGGAGACUGCUGGGCUGCUUUCAUGGGCUUUGUGCCUUCCCAACGCCAAAAGGAAGUGUUAGCUUUAGGAUAGGUGUCAGUGUAACAGUGAUUAGCAACAGUAUUCGUAGAUGCAGCUAUACAGUAACAAGAAAGUAUCUCCUUGUCCAGAUCCAACUGUGAUGGGCACACUGUAGCAAAGCCCAGUGCUUGUUUCAAAACCACUGCUAUUUAGCCCAGAUCAACCCUAACAGCCCAGAAUAUGCAAACUCUGCUGCUCAGCCUCAUUGGGAGAGCUACACUUACCUGGUAAAACUCCGAGAAGGCUUCAGCCACCUUCCUCCUUAACAUA